Molecule: transfer RNA, 57 nt
Filed under: Bos taurus (domestic cattle)
Lineage: Eukaryota; Metazoa; Chordata; Mammalia; Artiodactyla; Bovidae
Rfam family: tRNA
About the family: Transfer RNA (tRNA) molecules are approximately 80 nucleotides in length. Their secondary structure includes four short double-helical elements and three loops (D, anti-codon, and T loops).
Source: Rfam by way of RNAcentral
UGUCUCAGAUGGUAAAGAAUCUGCCUGCAGUGCAGAAGAUCCGGGUUCAAUCCCUGG